RNAcentral lists this ribosomal RNA (1344 nucleotides) under uncultured bacterium. RNAcentral describes it as "16S ribosomal RNA". It matches the Rfam family "Bacterial small subunit ribosomal RNA", at positions 28 to 1378 of the family's 1533-position model. The record is from RNAcentral.
GACGAACGCUGGCGGCGUGCUUAACACAUGCAUGUCGAACGGAAAGGCCCUGCUUUUGUGGGGUGCUCGAGUGGCGAACGGGUGAGUAACACGUGAGUAACCUGCCCUUGACUUUGGGAUAACUUCAGGAAACUGGGGCUAAUACCGGAUAGGAGCUCCUGCUGCAUGGUGGGGGUUGGAAAGUUUCGGCGGUUGGGGAUGGACUCGCGGCUUAUCAGCUUGUUGGUGGGGUAGUGGCUUACCAAGGCUUUGACGGGUAGCCGGCCUGAGAGGGUGACCGGCCACAUUGGGACUGAGAUACGGCCCAGACUCCUACGGGAGGCAGCAGUGGGGAAUAUUGCACAAUGGGCGGAAGCCUGAUGCAGCAACGCCGCGUGCGGGAUGACGGCCUUCGGGUUGUAAACCGCUUUCGCCUGUGACGAAGCGUGAGUGACGGUAAUGGGUAAAGAAGCACCGGCUAACUACGUGCCAGCAGCCGCGGUGAUACGUAGGGUGCGAGCGUUGUCCGGAUUUAUUGGGCGUAAAGGGCUCGUAGGUGGUUGAUCGCGUCGGAAGUGUAAUCUUUGGGGCUUAACCCUGAGCGUGCUUUCGAUACGGGUUGACUUGAGGAAGGUAGGGGAGAAUGGAAUUCCUGGUGGAGCGGUGGAAUGCGCAGAUAUCAGGAGGAACACCAGUGGCGAAGGCGGUUCUCUGGGCCUUUCCUGACGCUGAGGAGCGAAAGCGUGGGGAGCGAACAGGCUUAGAUACCCUGGUAGUCCACGCUGUAAACGGUGGGUACUAGGUGUGGGGUCCAUUCCACGGGUUCCGUGCCGUAGCUAACGCUUUAAGUACCCCGCCUGGGGAGUACGGCCGCAAGGCUAAAACUCAAAGGAAUUGACGGGGCCCCGCACAAGCGGCGGAGCAUGCGGAUUAAUUCGAUGCAACGCGUAGAACCUUACCUGGGUUUGACAUGGAUCGGGAGUGCUCAGAGAUGGGUGUGCCUCUUUUGGGGUCGGUUCACAGGUGGUGCAUGGCUGUCGUCAGCUCGUGUCGUGAGAUGUUGGGUUAAGUCCCGCAACGAGCGCAACCCUUGUUCACUGUUGCCAGCACGUUAUGGUGGGGACUCAGUGGAGACCGCCGGGGUCAACUCGGAGGAAGGUGGGGAUGACGUCAAGUCAUCAUGCCCCUUAUGUCCAGGGCUUCACGCAUGCUACAAUGGCUGGUACAGAGAGUGGCGAGCCUGUGAGGGUGAGCGAAUCUCGGAAAGCCGGUCUCAGUUCGGAUUGGGGUCUGCAACUCGACCUCAUGAAGUCGGAGUCGCUAGUAAUCGCAGAUCAGCAACGCUGCGGUGAAUACGUUCCCGGG